AAGAAACUCUUUUAAAGUUGCAGAUAAAAGAGAAGAUAUUACGAGAUUUGCCUGUCCUGUUUUUGAUCGAACAGCUCUUGAAGACGAGAGGUCAGUUCCUCUCACAACGAUAGAGUUAUCGACUACUAACAACGUUCUAUCCGAAAAUGCAUCGAAGACAUCGCCAANCGAAGACUACGAAAGAAUAUCAGAAAAAUCUCAGUCAUCCAAUGACAAUACAGGAAAUUCAGAACAAGGAACAGGAAACGACAACGUUCAUGGGUCACAAAUCCACCANUAUUAUCAAGAGCUUAAAGAUGAUGCUUUAUUACCAAACAUGCAAGGCUACCAGGCUCUAAAGAGGAUUGUGGUGGUGGAUGAUAGUGCUUUAAAAAAAGAACCUGUAAUGCCUCCUCCAAAAUACGAAGCAUUAAACUUUUUAAAUCAUCCACAAAAAUCUGAAUAUCAGAAACUGCAUCUUUAUGCUAAUAUUGAGGAUAAAAAGUAAAACUACGAAUAUAACCUCAAGGUGGUUUAUUAAGUUUCAUUUUUUGGUGUAGUUCAUCUAGUGACGUCUAUGGCGUUGUUGUUUUAAUUUGUUUUCCAUUUUCUUGCAUUACAAUAUUGUAAGAUAGAUAUACUGAAUAUCCAAUGUGUAAAAGAAUGCAUUAUAGUUAUAACC
RNAcentral lists this long non-coding RNA (661 nucleotides) under Actinia tenebrosa (Australian red waratah sea anemone). RNAcentral describes it as "uncharacterized LOC116303688, transcript variant X1". Lineage: Eukaryota; Metazoa; Cnidaria; Anthozoa; Actiniaria; Actiniidae. The record is from RNAcentral.